CCCUUAGAUGUUCUGGGCCGCACGCGUGCUACACUGAGUGGAUCAGCGGGUCAGGUUGCGCGAAAGCGUUUCCUAAUCUUUAAAUCCGCUCGUGAUGGGGAUUGACGGUUGCAAUUUUCUGUCAUGAACGAGGAAUACCUUGUAAGCGCGGGUCAUCAUCCCGCGCUGAAUACGUCCCUGCCCUUUGUACACACCGCCCGUCGCUCCUACCGAUUGAGUGGUCCGGUGAGGCUUUGGGAUCUGAGCGGAAAGAGCGUUUCGCUGUUUCUGCUCGGAAAACUCAGUCGAACCUUAUCAUUUAUAGGAAGGAGAAGUCGUAACA
Molecule: ribosomal RNA, 322 nt
Filed under: uncultured eukaryote
Lineage: Eukaryota
Description: partial 18S ribosomal RNA
Rfam family: Eukaryotic small subunit ribosomal RNA
Source: RNAcentral